RNAcentral lists this unclassified non-coding RNA (328 nucleotides) under uncultured fungus. RNAcentral describes it as "partial contains 5.8S ribosomal RNA and internal transcribed spacer 2". The stretch from base 1 to 133 matches the Rfam family "5.8S ribosomal RNA", at positions 22 to 154 of the family's 154-position model. Lineage: Eukaryota; Fungi. The record is from RNAcentral.
UGGUUCUGGCAUCGAUGAAGAACGCAGCGAAAUGCGAUAAGUAAUGUGAAUUGCAGAAUUCAGUGAAUCAUCGAAUCUUUGAACGCACAUUGCGCCCUUUGGUAUUCCGAGGGGCAUGUCUGUUCGAGCGUCAUUUCAACCCUCAAGCUUCUGCUUGGUAUUGGGCUUCAUCCUGCUUAAGGGAUGUGCCUAAAACUCAUUGGCGGUUGCACUUAGCUCCCUCGCGUAGUUAUUUUUUUUCUCGCUUGGAAAUUUAGGUGUAACCCGCCUGAGAACCCCCCAUAUUUUCUCAAGUUUUGACCUCGGAUCAGAUAGGGAUACCCGCUGA